CCUCAAUGUCUGUUAAGAUUGGAGCUUGUGUGAGGCCAAGACUCACUUGUCUUAAUCUACAAACAACAAUAUGAAGUCAUGUCUUUUUUUCUCUUACCAGGUGCGAGAGCAUGAUGCACAGGAAAGGCAGCAAAAUCAUUUUCUCCAUUCCAGUGGACAUCUUUUCUUCCGUGUAGAAAUAGGUGCUAGUUUGUCCUUAAGUCUUGAGAUGAGGAGGUCUUCCUUUCGUCUUUGAGUUUGAGCUAGAGAAACCGCUUCUGAUCAAGUUGAUCUCUUGUCUGGUUUCGUCUAGUGGCUCCGGUCGUAGUCUUCCUUUCGUUCUUUCUUGUCUUGGUGAAAGCUAGAGUUUAGCUUCGGUAGAGGAGUUGAUCUGAGUUCUGACCGGAGAGGCGAGCUCCCUUUAUACUCGCUGGCCCUCGUUGCACGUCACUGGGGGCUGAAUGGAGAGCCAGCCCUGGACAAACAUGGACAUACUUGGCAUUCUUUCCUCGCUUCCUGACCCCCACUCCAGACAUCCCACAUUCCUGCCGUCUGAAGGCAAGGCUCUGCUGCUCGGCCAAACAACACCAUCUCUCUCUCGGAGCAGCUUUCAUCUGGAAUGGGAGGUUAAGUCUGGUUAGAGACCAGGGACCCCACACUGGGAAUUCCUGCAGACUGACUUCACAAACAGACAGCCGGUACCUAUAAAUAUUAAUUCAGAAAAAAGAGGAAGAAGAAGAAGAGAUGAGAAAAAAAAACUUGUUGGUGGUUCAAAAACCAAAGAGCUUCACAUGAAAGAAGAGGAGUCAAAAACAACGGGGUGAUUUAUUUCUGUGACUGAAUACUACAAGAUGAUCCUGAUGGUCAGUCUCCUGAGUUACCUGAGCCGAAAUGCACGGCCCUGCCAAGGGGGAUCACACACCAGGCCAGACUCUUAUGAAAGGCGGCCCUGCUCCUUCUCCAGCCAGCGAAUCGGAAAUGAAAAACUCCCAGAGAAACCUGGAGCUGGAGGAAUGCGAGGAAGAAGCCAGCAGACUGGGCCGUUACUACGGAGGAAGCGUGCCAUAUAAGGGCGUCUGCUCUUUUCCUAAUAUGGAUAUGUUCUCUCCCUAUGCUGGCUCAGUACAGUAGGGACUCCUAUUAGACCGAGGAAAAACACUGGCGUGAGUGAAAGUGCAGUUUGUGUGGACUAUUUUGUCUCUCAAAACAAACCAGAGAAAGUGUGUGUGUGUGACCUUGAGUGUGUGUGUGUGUUAUCAGUCAUCAUAGCCUCAGGACCCACGCUUCACUUCUGUGAUAUCUAAAGGAAGCAGCUUGAUGGAGGAACGCACUCCGGCCACACUGCACAACAACACUCACACUAACAUGACGCUGUUAUCUUGCGUGAGGGGUAAUCUAGCGUCUGUCAGGUUGUUUAUGAAGUGAGUGAAUCCAACAUUGCAGGCAAAGUUAUUGAAUGUUUUUUUUAAAGAAAGUCCCUUGAAGAUAAAGUCAUCAAUCCUGUUUUAUCUUAUCUCACCUUUUAAUACCUUUGACAGACGGGGAAAUUAUACAAUUUGUCAGAUCGCAUCAAGUCUCACCAAGUAAUAGAUAAGUGAGGUUAUACAAGUUAUUAUUGAAAAACAACGUGGACAUUAAAGGUCCGGGAUCAUUUUAAGGUCAAGGCCUGCUUGCCUCCUGUUGAGGAGCCACCUUGAAACUCACUGUUACCUAGGAAGCUCUUAUUUUUCCGGAUGUUUUUCAUGACACAGGCAGUUUCGGGCCAUGUGUUCACUGAGUUCAGCCUGUCAGUCUCUGGGUUUCACAUGCAGCCUGCGUACUCACUGUCCUGCGGAUCUACAUGUGCGGAGGGGCUGACAUGCGGUGGCCAAGGGAAACUUAUGGCUCUGUGUGUGGCGGGCCCAGAUAUGUCCAGGCUAAGUAUAGACCGAGAUAUUUGUCCAAGAGAGAGUGGCUGUGGGGUAAAAAUCAGUCAUCAGAACAGUGGUGGUGAAACAAUGUCAGGGCAGUCGGUUCAACUCUUGUACUUGUUGGCAUCAUGGGUUGUAAAACAUACCUGUGCAAGAUGUUUCAUCUUAAACCCUUUAACACAUGUGAAAAUGCACUGUUCUGUGUGAUGUGUCAAUGAAGAUGUGGUUGGAUUGUAUUCGUCACAGUUGAAUAAAAAAAUCAGUUUUCCAUUUUAAA
Long non-coding RNA from Pleuronectes platessa (European plaice), 2166 nucleotides. RefSeq lists it as uncharacterized. The transcript is spliced from 3 exons. Lineage: Eukaryota; Metazoa; Chordata; Actinopteri; Pleuronectiformes; Pleuronectidae. The record is from RefSeq and is a predicted model, not a curated record.